AUUCCGGUUGAUCCUGCCGGAGGCCAUUGCUAUCGGAGUCCGAUUUAGCCAUGGUAGAUGCGCGGGAUUUAGACCCGCAGCGGAAAGCUCACUAACACGUGGCCAAACUACCCUGUGGAUGGGAACCAUCUCGGGAAACUGAGGCUAAUUCCCAAUAACGCUCCACCCCUGGAACGGGCGGAGCUGGAAACGCUACGGCGCCACAGGAUGUGGCUGCGGUCGAUUAGGUAGACGGUGGGGUAAC
This 244-nucleotide ribosomal RNA is filed under the name uncultured Halobacteria archaeon. RNAcentral's name for it is "partial 16S ribosomal RNA". It matches the Rfam family "Archaeal small subunit ribosomal RNA", at positions 1 to 245 of the family's 1478-position model. The record is from RNAcentral. Lineage: Archaea; Methanobacteriati; Methanobacteriota; Halobacteria.